UACGGAGGAUCCAAGCGUUAUCCGGAUUUAUUGGGUUUAAAGGGUGCGUAGGCGGGAGAUUAAGUCGGUGGUGAAAUUUUGCAGCUCAACUGUAAAAGUGCCAUUGAUACUGGUUUCCUUGAGUGUGGAUGAAGUAGGCGGAAUUUGUGGUGUAGCGGUGAAAUGCAUAGAUAUCACGAGGAACUCCGAUUGCGCAGGCAGCUUACUAAACCAUAACUGACGCUCAGGCACAAAGGCGUGGGGAUCAAACAGGAUUAGAUACCA
RNAcentral lists this ribosomal RNA (264 nucleotides) under uncultured prokaryote. RNAcentral's name for it is "partial 16S ribosomal RNA". It matches the Rfam family "Bacterial small subunit ribosomal RNA", at positions 524 to 787 of the family's 1533-position model. The record is from RNAcentral.